AUAUUCAAUGUGUCUCACUUUAGGCCACAUCCAUCUGUAAUAUCAUAUGGCUCCUAAUCAUAUGAUAUGAAAUGAAUAUUAGUUAUUAUUAGUACUAUAUUUUAUAUACUAUGAUAUAUAUCAUUAUAUUUACAUUUUCCCAUAAACCUCUCUCCUUUGGCCCCUCUUUAAAUACCCCAUUGUUUCUUCACUUCUUUCUCUACCAUUAUAUCCUAUGUUCAUUAAAUAAGCUUUGUUCUCAUUUUUUUUUUCUAUUUUUUUUCCACUUAUUAUUAUUUUCUUAGUUUCAUUGGGAAAUUAUAUUGUACAUUGACGUGCACCACUAGUUGAUGAAGCUGCCAGCAUGAUCUCAACUUGCCUUUUAUUCUGAUUAAUCUUUCAAUUAAUCAUCAUCAACAACUUUAUAUUAAGGAAAGAUUAGAUCAUGUUGGUAGCUUCAUCUUUUGAUGGGAUCACGAAAAACAACAAUGAAGAAAUCAUUGGAUUGAACUAAUUAAGUUUAUUUAAUUAUUGUUUGUUUUAGUAGGUUUAAUUUCGCCAUUGAUGCAUGAGGGUUUCAACAACAAUGAAGGCACCUCGAAGAGAAGAACAUAUUUCAAGCUAGCUUUUAUUUUAAAUUCUUAUAUGUGGCUGGCCACAAAUUAUUUCGUUAGUGUAAUAGAGGUUACUUGGUCAGUGUUAGAAAGGUUAUUACUCGAUCAGUAUUACAGGGGUUACUUGAUCAAUAUUAUUGUCAUCAUUAAAUUUUGUAUGAA
Molecule: long non-coding RNA, 755 nt
Organism: Chenopodium quinoa (quinoa)
Lineage: Eukaryota; Viridiplantae; Streptophyta; Magnoliopsida; Caryophyllales; Amaranthaceae
Exons: 2
Source: RefSeq, a predicted model, not a curated record